Molecule: non-coding RNA, 109 nt
Organism: Acanthosepion pharaonis
Lineage: Eukaryota; Metazoa; Mollusca; Cephalopoda; Sepiida; Sepiidae
Source: the annotation of a GenBank genome assembly
GCGACAUUAGGUUGAAAUAUCGGUUCCCGUACGAUCACCGAAGUCAAGCAACGUCGAAGCUGGUCUUUAACUGAAUGGGUGUCCGCUUGGGAAUAUCAGGUGCUGUAAG